CAUAACUGUAGAAACCACCACUUGCUGGUUUCUCCGGCGACUGGUUGACUGACCUGACGCCAUGUCUACGGUGGCGCAACUCGCUGUCGUUACUGGAACUUGCUGUAAUUUUCAUCGAACUUCUAAAUGCUUGGGUUUUUCCUUCCACAAUUUGACCUCCGUUGUCGCCACCACCCGCAUCCGUACUGCUACAAUCAGGAACAGAGCUAAAGCUCCUUUAUCUGUCACUUGCUCAGCAGCUAAGCCGUCGUCCUCCACCGAAAUCAGUUCUACAGCCAGGAUUAGGAGUGAAGUUCUUACUCCUUUCAGAUCCGUCAGGAUGUUCUUUUAUAUUGCCUUUGUUGCACAAGCUUCUCUUGGUGGACUGAUAGCUACUACACAACUUAUUGGUGCUCUGGCUAAUCCUUCAAGAGCAGAUGCAGUCACUGAUAUUACCAAGGGACUUGGCAUAGACAUAGGAGCUGCAUCUCUGUUUGCAUUUCUGUACUAUAGAGAAAACAAAAUUAAGAAUGCCCAGAUGGCCAGGCUCUCAAGAGAAGAGAACCUCUCAAACCUUAAACUGCGGGUAGAUGAAAAGAAGAUUAUUACUGUUAGUGAAUUUAGGGGACUUGCCCGUCUUGUGAUCCUUGCUGGACCUUCAUCAUUCAUUACAGAGGCUUUCAGACUUAGUGAGAUGUUUACUGAGCAACUUAUAGAAAGAGGGGUGCUUGUGGUGCCUUUCUCCACAGAUGGAAAUGCACCUACUUUUGAGUUUGAUGAGACUGAAGACAUGGAGGAGCUAACAAACAAAAGAAGAAGGCUCUGGCAGCUUGUACCUGUCCUCACGCCAGAAUGGUCCGAGUGGUUAGAUGAUCAGAAGAAACUGGCCAAUGUAUCACCUGAAUCUCCUGUGUAUUUAUCUUUACGGUUGGAUGGUCGUGUUCGUGGGAGUGGUGUGGGUUAUCCACCUUGGAAUGCUUUUGUAGCACAAUUACCUCCAGUAAAAGGAAUGUGGUCUGGCCUUCUUGAUGGCAUGGAUGGAAGAGUCCUUUGAGAAUCAUUUAGCCAUCCAAAUUUAUGGAGUUUAUUCCAAUACUUGGUGGCAUUUGGUUAAUAUUCAGAGCAUUCAGGUCCAUUUUUGCUCUUCUUUACUUCAUUGAAACAAACAGAAGAACUUCAACUCUUUAGAGCAACAAGUAUGAAUAUAUUUGCGCCACAUUGAAAGAGAUAUCGACUACUUUGACCGUGAGUCUGUGACUUGUUCAACUUUCUCAGUAUGUGGUUUUUUUAUAGCAGGAGACAUGUAGUCUACAUAUGAUAUUUCUAAACAACUUUUCUUAUAUUAAUACUAACUUCAUCAUAUUAACUAUUCAGA
This is an RNA transcript of Cynara cardunculus var. scolymus (artichoke), 1354 nucleotides long. It is a transcript of the gene named protein LOW PSII ACCUMULATION 1, chloroplastic, with no coding region annotated. The record is from RefSeq and is a predicted model, not a curated record. The transcript has 6 exons. NCBI's taxonomy places the organism in Eukaryota, Viridiplantae, Streptophyta, Magnoliopsida, Asterales, Asteraceae.